GAUCAUGGCUCAGGAUGAACGCUAGCUACAGGCUUAACACAUGCAAGUCGAGGGGGAACGAUAUUGGAAGCUUGCUUCCGAUAGGCGUCGACCGGCGCGCGGGUGAGUAACGCGUAUCCAACCUGCCCACCACUUGGGGAUAACCUUGCGAAAGUAAGACUAAUACCCAAUGAUAUCUCUAGAAGACAUCUGAAAGGGCUUAAAGAUUUAUCGGUGAUGGAUGGGGAUGCGU
RNAcentral lists this ribosomal RNA (232 nucleotides) under uncultured bacterium. Its description in RNAcentral is "partial 16S ribosomal RNA". It matches the Rfam family "Bacterial small subunit ribosomal RNA", at positions 15 to 236 of the family's 1533-position model. The record is from RNAcentral.